GAGAAGUAGCUGUAAAGCUCAGGAGGGAUAGCGCCAUGGCUCACCAAUACUUGUAUGUUUUGUACACGCAUAUCUGUUGGCGCUAUCCAUCCUAAGUUCCAUGGCUUAUUCUU
RNAcentral lists this microRNA precursor (113 nucleotides) under Capsella rubella. Its description in RNAcentral is "MIR390 microRNA precursor family". It matches the Rfam family "MIR390 microRNA precursor family". Lineage: Eukaryota; Viridiplantae; Streptophyta; Magnoliopsida; Brassicales; Brassicaceae. The record is from Rfam by way of RNAcentral.